GACGAACGCUGGCGGCGUGCUUAACACAUGCAAGUCGAACGGAAAGGCCCUGCUUGCGGGGUACUCGAGUGGCGAACGGGGGAGUAACACGUGGGUGAUCUGCGCUGCACUUCGGGAGAAGACUGGGAAACAGGGUCGAAUACCGGAUAGGAGCCAUCUUGAGGGUGAGGGGUGGAAGGUUUUUUCGGUGUGGGAUGGGCUGGCGGCCGAUCAGCUUGUUGGUGGGGUAAUGGCCUACCAAGGCGGGGACGGGUAGCCGGCCUGAGGGGGUGGACGGCCACCAUGGGACUGGGAAUCGGCCCAGGCCCCUACCGGGGGCCGCCGUGGGGAAUUUUGCCCCAUGGGCGCGAGCCCGAUGCAGCGACGCCGCGGGGGGGAUUACGGCCUUCGGGUUGUAAACUCCUUUCGCUAGGGACGAAGCUUUUUGUGACGGUACCUAGAUAAGAAGCACCGGCUAACUACGUG
RNAcentral lists this ribosomal RNA (465 nucleotides) under uncultured bacterium. RNAcentral describes it as "partial 16S ribosomal RNA". It matches the Rfam family "Bacterial small subunit ribosomal RNA", at positions 28 to 507 of the family's 1533-position model. The record is from RNAcentral.